RNAcentral lists this long non-coding RNA (221 nucleotides) under Homo sapiens (human). RNAcentral describes it as "HSALNT0347100". The record is from RNAcentral. Lineage: Eukaryota; Metazoa; Chordata; Mammalia; Primates; Hominidae.
UGGAUCACUUGAAUUCAGGAGUUCAAGACCAACCUGGCCAACAUUGCAAAAUCCCAUCUCUACAAAAAUACAAAAAAUUAGCCAGGUGUGGUGGCACACGCCUGUAGUCCCAGCUACUCAGGAGGCUGAGGUAUGAGAACCGCUUGAACUCAGAAGUUAGAGGUUGCAGUGAGCUGAGAUUGCACCUCUGCACUACAGCCUGGGUGAUAAAGCCAGCGAAA